GGUGGUUGUAGUUCAGUUGGUUAGAACGCCUGAUUGUGGUUCAGGAGGUCGCCGGUUCGAGUCCGGUCUUCCACCC
Molecule: transfer RNA, 76 nt
Filed under: Marinoscillum luteum
Lineage: Bacteria; Pseudomonadati; Bacteroidota; Cytophagia; Cytophagales; Reichenbachiellaceae
Also listed under: 14 other names
Description: tRNA-His
Rfam family: tRNA
About the family: Transfer RNA (tRNA) molecules are approximately 80 nucleotides in length.
Source: RNAcentral